GCUUGUCUCAAAGAUUAAGCCAUGCAUGUCUAAGUAUAAACAACUUUAUACUGUGAAACUGCGUACAGCUCAUUAUAUCAGUUAUAAUUUAUUUGAUGGUGAUUUACUACAUGGAUAACCGUGGUAAUUCUAGAGCUAAUACAUGCGUAAGAUCCUGACUAACGAAGGGACGUAUUUAUUAGAUACAACCGACCUCCUUCUGGAGCCUUUUGUCGACUCAUAGUAACUUUGCGAAUCGCAUAGCUUUAAUGCUGGCGAUGGGUCAUUCAAAUUUCUGCCCUAUCAACUUUCGACGGUAGGAUAGAGGCCUACUGUGGUGAUAACGGGUAACGAAGAAUAAGGGUUCGAUUUCGGAGAGGGAGCCUGAGAAACGGCUACCACAUCCAAGGAAGGCAGCAGG
Molecule: ribosomal RNA, 400 nt
Filed under: Spongomonas minima
Lineage: Eukaryota; Cercozoa; Imbricatea; Spongomonadida; Spongomonadidae
Description: partial small subunit ribosomal RNA
Rfam family: Eukaryotic small subunit ribosomal RNA
Source: RNAcentral